RNAcentral lists this long non-coding RNA (711 nucleotides) under Phascolarctos cinereus (koala). RNAcentral describes it as "lncRNA (ENSPCIG00000013688.2)". Lineage: Eukaryota; Metazoa; Chordata; Mammalia; Diprotodontia; Phascolarctidae. The record is from RNAcentral.
GAAUCAAUCAUUGAAAUCACCCUAUGGAAUUUGCCUUUGUAUUCCAAUUUGGUUCCAGAAUGGAAUAAGAAGACUUAAAGACUAGUUGAGCAAAGCCAUGUAGGGCCUGCGAACUACCCAUCCAGGGCUCCAAGGGAAGCAGGCACAGACGAUUGAGUUGGGAGCUGAGUGUGAUCGGGAGAGUUGUGGGAAGUCAAGUUUGGAUGUUCUGGAGGAGUCUGCCGAGGGAUGCUGACAGAGGCAGAGCCUUUGUGAAGUUCACUGGACCAAUUUCAGUAGCCAGGAGCAAUGAAAGCCUGCAAAUUUGGAGACGUCUUCAUGGAGAAUUGAGCCCUCCUUGGCAUAGCAACAUUGAAGCCCUCAACAUUUGGGCCAGUAUGGGAAUGGCAGAUAGACUAAGGAGGCCCACAUAUUUGGACAUAUUUUUAACAAUCCCAUGAACACACUUGCCUUGCCAUCACGGGCAGGACACUAAAACGCUCUCAUUGCCCUUCGUCUUCAAGAAAAGACAUCUGAACUCUUCAUUUGCAGACGAGUGCAGACCCAGUACAUCAAAGACUACUUUCUUCUAAUAAUGAAAGGCUAUAAUUAGUGAGAUGGUGUUUUCAUUUUCCAGCUGGGAUAGCUUUUACUAGCCUGAGUAAAUGUAAAGCUUCUUUGAAAUGUGUUCAUUGUGAAUAAAAUCCCCGAAAAGCCUUUUCGAGACCCUCA